UCCAAUCUAAGAUAAAGUAAACAAAUAAUUCGGAUUCUGAUUGACAAUCCAUACUUUUAUUUAGUCUAAGUAAACACCCUACUCCCACUCCCACUCCACACUCCUAAUCCAAGGAUUCCCACUCCUCAGGAUUCCCACUCCAAUCUAAAAAGCAAACGCAGCAUUAACCUAAUCUUAAUCCCCAAGAACACUAUCACUCAGUGGUAUCUUGAUCAAGAAUGAUUGAUUAGUGAAUAUGAGAACAAAAUAAACUAAAAUCAAAGAUAAAGAAGAAAACAGAACAAAGAAAAUUAUAGAGGUCAGCCUCUCAUGGCUUACAUUCUCUUGAGACUUAAGACUAUGCUUGAUUUCAUUGACGCAAAGAAUCAUAUAUAAACUUUCUUGAGAUUGCAAUGAAUUGGAUACAAC
This 408-nucleotide long non-coding RNA is filed under the name Citrus sinensis (sweet orange). Its description in RNAcentral is "long non-coding RNA (CSIN_LNC005310)". The record is from RNAcentral. Lineage: Eukaryota; Viridiplantae; Streptophyta; Magnoliopsida; Sapindales; Rutaceae.